RNAcentral lists this ribosomal RNA (253 nucleotides) under uncultured bacterium. RNAcentral's name for it is "partial 16S ribosomal RNA". It matches the Rfam family "Bacterial small subunit ribosomal RNA", at positions 524 to 776 of the family's 1533-position model. The record is from RNAcentral.
UACGUAGGGAGCAAGCGUUGUCCGGAAUCAUUGGGCGUAAAGCGCGCGUAGGUGGCCCGAUAAGUCCGCUCUGAAAGUCACAGGCUCAACCUGUGAAAGCGGGUGGAUACUGUCGGGCUAGAGUCCGGAAGAGGCGAGUGGAAUUCCUGGUGUAGCGGUGGAAUGCGCAGAUAUCAGGAGGAACACCAACGGCGAAGGCAGCUCGCUGGGACGGUACUGACACUGAGGCGCGAAAGCGUGGGGAGCGAACAGG